Molecule: non-coding RNA, 94 nt
Organism: Mycena latifolia
Lineage: Eukaryota; Fungi; Basidiomycota; Agaricomycetes; Agaricales; Mycenaceae
Source: the annotation of a GenBank genome assembly
GGCUCGAUGGCGGAGGGUCCGCACUUGCAUUCCAUACGUACGGAGCACACAUGCAUUCAUGCAGGCGUUGCCCGUUCGACUCGGGCUCGAGCUA